AGCUUAUUGAUUUUAUAGUAGGUGUUUUCUGCCCGGUGAUUUAUUUUAACGGCCGCGGUAUUUUGACCGUGCAAAGGUAGCAUAAUCAUUUGUCUUUUAAUUGGGGACUGGAAUGAAGGGAGUGACGAGAGAUUGGUUGUCUCUGUUUUUUAUUUUGAAUUUUCUUUUUAGAUGAGGAAGUCUAUAUUAUAGAGAAAGACGAGAAGACCCUAUUGAUCUUUAUUUUGUUAGAUAAAUUUUUUAUAUUAUUUUUUAUUUUUUAGGAUUUGGUUGGGGCAAUUGGGGAGGAAUAUUUAUUCUUUCUUUAUAUAUUUUGAUCCUGUAUUAUGGACAGUAAGACUUAGUUACCAUAGGGAUAACAGCGUAAUUUUUUUGGAGAGUUCAUAUUGAUAAAGAAGAUUGCGACCUCGAUGUUGGAUUAAAAUUUCCGAAGGGUGUAGGUUUUUUUCGGGUGGGUCUGUUCGACCUUUAAAAUUUU
Molecule: ribosomal RNA, 478 nt
Filed under: Tubulanus misakiensis
Lineage: Eukaryota; Metazoa; Nemertea; Palaeonemertea; Tubulaniformes; Tubulanidae
Description: Tubulanus sp. Misaki partial 16S ribosomal RNA
Rfam family: Bacterial large subunit ribosomal RNA
Source: RNAcentral